CCAACUUUCAGCAGGUGCCCGCACGGCUGCCUCUUCGCCUUUCUUUGAGCGAAACAUGCUUAGGACCGCCGGCUUAGGUCAGAGGGAAGUAAAAGUUGGGGCUCCGCUUUAGGAGACUCAAAGGGUCCUGGCGAGGUGAACAUUUUCCAACCUCGAUUUGCUGUACUGGAAAUCCAGUCUACACUGAAACAUGAGAGAGUUUCAUUAAUUCAUGGAGAGAUUCUGGGCAUCCUUGAGGACAAGGCAUUCUAUAGCCACGUUCUACUUGUUCCAGAACUUCUCGGUUUACCAUGCCUAGAAUUGUACAACAGGAUUUAACAUUAAUAGUCAACAACAUGAAAGAACUUUCACGAAGCUGUCAGUGCUCUUCUUUACCAAUGAGCAACAAACUUACCCAAAAUAAGAAAAUGGAUUGGAAGUGGACAGGAAAUCUGAUUGGAUUUGGAUCAGUGGAUCGAAAGUAGGUAGAAAAUCGAGUAAACUCAAAAGAAUAACAUUUUAUUGUUUGGUGUAUUUCCAUGUUAUGACCAACUGUGAAGCUGUUUUACAAACAUAUACUGCUGUCAAAGUUAAGCAGGGAUCAACAGAGUGACCUGGGAUUACUAGCUAAGUGAAAAUUUGUUGCUUGAUCCCCUGACCUCCAGGAUUAGGACCUCCUGCUAGGUUUAAAUACAGCAUAAAUGUUCCUCUUUCCAUCUCUACAUCUGGAGCUGGCAAGGGCAAAAUACAAGUUCCUGCCCUUCAGUAGUUCCAAAAAGGAGUGGCCAGAAGAAGGUUGCACCUACUUGGUGAUCCAAGCUCAGAAUGUCCACUGGAUGCCCAGGCAAAGUGUGCCCCUUGGUCUCUUGCUCAGAGCAGGAGAGGAUUCAGAGAUGCUCUGCAACUGUGCUUCAAUAAGCACAGAGGGAAGUCCAUGUCCCUUCAUCUCCAAGGCAAAGGCUAUUUAUGGCUCUUCCCUUUGAGGCUGGGAAUAAGUAAAGAUUAUCUCCUCUUCAGCUCUAGGUUCAGAAGAAGCCUUGGCCUCAUCUCUCACUUGAACCUGACUUUUUUCCUCUGUAUUUACUUGUCAAAUAACUUUAAAAAAUCAGACUCUCUCUCACACACAGACUAUCUCUCCUUGAAUAGCCUGGCUUGCCAAGUCAUAUUUGCUGCGCUCAAGGACAAAGCUCUAAGUCUGAUGGUGGAGGAGGUCUACUGAGUCAGUGCUGUGUUAUGAGGGAGAUUGCAAAAUGAGAAACAUCUGAUGACGUAUUGUUAAUUCUACAGUUAUAGAGACCAAGGUUGUUCUACUUACACAUUCAGAAAAGGCAUACAAUAGACUCCAGAUGUAUUUAAAAUACCUUGUAAAAAACUCCCAAGUACGAAGAAGAAUAGCACAUGAAGAAGGCUAAUCUAUAACAUUCUCCUGAAUGUUCUACGUGGGCAGGGGAGACAUUAAAAAAUUCAUCACACCUGCUAUAAUCUGAGUGACUGUGCCUUUGUUAAUAGGUAGUUUCUUUCAGAUAUGUUAUUUUUGGGUUUGCUAAUGAUGUCCUUCAUUGCACUGCUUUUCAUGGAACCAUGUCCAAUUGUGUUAUAAUGCAUUUGUUGAAAUGGACUUGGAAAUGAAUCUUUAAAUGACUUAUUCUGGAACAAUGUUGGUUUUUUAAAGGUUAAGGUUUUAUCCUUAGGAACACUGAUGGUCGGAUCUUCUAUGUAAAACUUCAGAAGACUGAGUUUCAGAACUGUGUUGGACUUUCUGAUAAUCACAUCCUUAGAUGUGUUACGUAUCACAUUCUAAGUCCCAGAGCAUGCUAAAUAAACCACUUUUACAGAACAAUG
This is a long non-coding RNA of Varanus komodoensis (Komodo dragon), 1821 nucleotides long. RefSeq lists it as uncharacterized. The record is from RefSeq and is a predicted model, not a curated record. NCBI's taxonomy places the organism in Eukaryota, Metazoa, Chordata, Lepidosauria, Squamata, Varanidae. The transcript is spliced from 4 exons.